UAGCAUAUCAAUAAGCGGAGGAAAAGAAACCAACAGGGAUUGCCCCCAGUAACGGCGAGUGAAGCGGCAACAGCUCAAAUUUGAAAUCUGGCCCCAGGCCCGAGUUGUAAUUUGCAGAGGAUGCUUUUGGCGCGGUGCCUUCCGAGUUCCCUGGAACGGGACGCCAUAGAGGGUGAGAGCCCCGUACGGUUGGACACCAAGUCUUUGUAAAGCUCCUUCGACGAGUCGAGUAGUUUGGGAAUGCUGCUCAAAAUGGGAGGUAUAUUUCUUCUAAAGCUAAAUAUUGGCCAGAGACCGAUAGCGCACAAGUAGAGUGAUCGAAAGAUGAAAAGCACUUUGAAAAGAGGGUUAAACAGCACGUGAAAUUGUUAAAAGGGAAGCGCUUAUGACCAGACUUGCGCCCGGUGAAUCACCCAGCUCUCGCGGCUGGGGCACUUUGCCGGCUCAGGCCAGCAUCAGCUCGCUGUCGGGGACAAAAGCUUCGGGAACGUAGCUCUCUUCGGGGAGUGUUAUAGCCCGUUGCACAAUACCCUUCGGCGGGCUGAGGUACGCGCUCCGCAAGGAUGCUGGCGUAAUGGUCAUCAGCGACCCGUCUUGAAACACGGACCAAGGAGUCAACCUUAUGUGCGAGUGUUUGGGUGUCAAACCCCUACGCGUAAUGAAAGUGAACGCAGGUGAGAGCUUCGGCGCAUCAUCGACCGAUCCUGAUGUUCUCGGAUGGAUUUGAGUAAGAGCAUAUAGGGUUGGACCCGAAAGAAGGUGAACUAUGCGUGUAUAGGGUGAAGCCAGAGGAAACUCUGGUGGAGGCUCGCAGCGGUUCUGACGUGCAAAUCGAUCGUCAAAUAUGCGCAUGGGGGGCGAAAGACUAAUCGAACCUUCUAGUAGCUGGUUUCCGCCGAA
Molecule: ribosomal RNA, 900 nt
Filed under: Colletotrichum xanthorrhoeae
Lineage: Eukaryota; Fungi; Ascomycota; Sordariomycetes; Glomerellales; Glomerellaceae
Description: LSU rRNA
Rfam family: Eukaryotic large subunit ribosomal RNA
Source: RNAcentral